UACGUAGGGAGCAAGCGUUGUCCGGAUUUACUGGGUGUAAAGGGUGCGUAGGCGGGCUUGCAAGUCAGAAGUGAAAUCUAUGGGCUUAACCCAUAAACUGCUUUUGAAACUGUAAGUCUUGAGUGAAGUAGAGGUAGGCGGAAUUCCCGGUGUAGCGGUGAAAUGCGUAGAGAUAUGGAGGAACACCAGUGGCGAAGGCGGCUUCCUGGUCUGCAACUGACACUGAGGCGCGAAAGCGUGGGGAGCAAACAGG
RNAcentral lists this ribosomal RNA (253 nucleotides) under uncultured Ruminococcus sp. RNAcentral describes it as "partial 16S ribosomal RNA". It matches the Rfam family "Bacterial small subunit ribosomal RNA", at positions 524 to 776 of the family's 1533-position model. Lineage: Bacteria; Bacillati; Bacillota; Clostridia; Eubacteriales; Oscillospiraceae. The record is from RNAcentral.